GCAUGAAGUCGGAAUUGCUAGUAAUCGCGGAUCAGCAUGCCGCGGUGAAUACGUUCCCGGGCCUUGUACACACCGCCCGUCACACCAUGGGAGCCGGUAAUACCCGAAGUCAGUAGUCCAACCACGUGAGGACGCUGCCGAAGGUAGGAUUGGCGACUGGGGUGAAGUCGUAACAAGGUAUC
RNAcentral lists this ribosomal RNA (182 nucleotides) under uncultured bacterium. RNAcentral describes it as "partial 16S ribosomal RNA". It matches the Rfam family "Bacterial small subunit ribosomal RNA", at positions 1318 to 1500 of the family's 1533-position model. The record is from RNAcentral.